RNAcentral lists this transfer RNA (84 nucleotides) under Aerococcaceae bacterium DSM 111176. RNAcentral describes it as "tRNA-Leu". It matches the Rfam family "tRNA". From Rfam's summary of the family: Transfer RNA (tRNA) molecules are approximately 80 nucleotides in length. Their secondary structure includes four short double-helical elements and three loops (D, anti-codon, and T loops). Lineage: Bacteria; Bacillati; Bacillota; Bacilli; Lactobacillales; Aerococcaceae. The record is from RNAcentral. RNAcentral also lists the same sequence under 1 other name.
GCCGGUGUGGCGGAAUUGGCAGACGCGCGGGACUCAAAAUCCCGUGCCUUCACGGGCGUGUCGGUUCGAUCCCGACCACCGGUA